ACCACUGGUCGGUUUGCGGGCAGUCCGCUUUGUAGGAGCCGUGGUACAGAGACCUCCUUACUUACCCCCCUUCUCCUUCGGCUGGAGCUCGGCGAGCGAGAGGCGGCGCUGGCGUUGGAGAGCGACGGCGGCGCGGCGGCGCCUGCGAACACCAGGGAAGCAGCCUCUAACGUUUGAGGGUCAAUCCAGAUGGAGAGAAGAUAGAGGAGAAAGAGCCGAAUGUGACCCAACCAUAGGUCAUCUCUUGCAACAUGGCACAUGCUGAAUAUUUAGCCCAGCAUUAGGAAGACAUGGAUCCAAAAGUAUUGAAAAAAUGACCAGUGUGUGUAAAGGAGACUCCGAGAUUGACUACCAGACUUCUAGAAUGAUGUAACCAUACCUACAUAGAUUGGCUCAACAUAGGCAACCUAUCGCCAACUGUUCUUCAGAGAUCCCAGGCUCUUCACCACUCUGGCCAUCCUUCUCUGGAUGUGUUCCAGUUUGUCAAAUGUCACCCUUAAAGUUUGGCGUCCAGGAUUGAGCACCACACUGUCUCCAGAGAAGGACAGGCCGGAGGAUACAGAGGUUUCUCUUUGCACAAUCAGGGCAAUCAUUUGGAGGAGUGGAACCUGGGGGUCACCUGUCAGGCUCCAGCACUGAACUAGAAUUUCAACCCAGUUGGAAAUAUUUGAUCUCCGCUUCCACAAGAAAAAGAACAAUUAAAGCCAGGGGUAGAAAUGAGAAACACCUCCAGGGCUUCUUUGGUCCCUUGAAAUACUUGGUUUCUGCAUUCCAAGACUAUGGUUAGACGAGUCAUCUUUCUCAUACUAAGCUACCAAGCAGCAGCUGCCUAGAGACAGCUUUGAGAUCUGGCCCCCAUUCAAUGAUUGUGACAUUCAGAGAUGACUGUUUCAGGGACCAGAGAAGAUGACAGCUUUCCUCCUCUGUCUUCAGAGAAAGCAACAGGCAGCUGGAUACACAACACUGGUUUCUAGCUAUUUUUCCUGCGUAUGUCUGUGCAUGCAUACAUGUGUAUUUGACAUAACUAAGGGCAAGGUCACGUUUUCAUUUUCUUUUUCUUGUUGCCCAGUGAGCCACACUCCUUCUCCCGAACUCUCAAGCCCCUAGCCACAACCCAGCCUUGUAAGUGGAAAUGCUAUGAAUUUACGGCUUGAGAGGUGCACUUGGAUAAGCAUAAAGAACUGUUGGCCAGUGGAAUUCUAAGAGGUGAUCUAUACCGUACAGUGAGCCUCAUACUUGCCAACUUCAUAAAAAUCAGGAAAACAACAACAGAAAUCAUCCUAUUUCAUUGGAAGGAAACUGCUAUACCCUUCGAAGAAAAUGAAACCAAGAUACUAUAUCCUUUGCCUAAUGGGAGCAUAAUUUUCUAACCAUUUGACUUGAUACUUUGAUUUCUUCAACAUUUAUUGACCACCUACUAUAGGCAGACUUUGCUAAGCACCAGGAAUGUAAGGAAGCAAGGAACAGUUUCUGCUUUUCAUGAAUGUCAAGUUCAAAGGAGGAGCAGAUGUAUUCACUGGCAAUGACAAUGCAAUAUGGCAAGUGCUCUGAAAAUG
RNAcentral lists this long non-coding RNA (1556 nucleotides) under Homo sapiens (human). RNAcentral's name for it is "non-protein coding lnc-THOC2-8:3". The record is from RNAcentral. Lineage: Eukaryota; Metazoa; Chordata; Mammalia; Primates; Hominidae.